Molecule: ribosomal RNA, 563 nt
Filed under: uncultured bacterium
Lineage: Bacteria
Description: bacterial SSU rRNA
Rfam family: Bacterial small subunit ribosomal RNA
Source: RNAcentral
AACGCGAAGAACCUUACCUGAGUUUGAACUGCUGGUGGUAAAACCUCGAAAGGGGAAUAAUCCUGGCUUGCCAGGAAGCCAGCAGAGGUGCUGCAUGGCUGUCGUCAGCUCGUGUCGUGAGAUGUUGGGUUAAGUCCCGCAACGAGCGCAACCCUUGCCUUUAGUUGCCAGCGAGUUAUGUCGGGUACUCUAAGGGGACUGCCUCGGAUAACGGGGGGGAAGGUGGGGAUGACGUCAAGUCAGCAUGGCCUUUAUGUCCAGGGCUACACACGUGCUACAAUGGACGGUACAGAGAGUCGCAAGGCCGCGAGGUGGAGCUAAUCUCUAAAACCGUUCUCAGUUCGGAUCGCAGGCUGCAAUUCGCCUGCGUGAAGUUGGAAUCGCUAGUAAUCGCGGAUCAGCAACGCCGCGGUGAAUACGUUCUCGGGCCUUGUACGCACCGCCCGUCAAGCCACCUGAGUUAAGUGCACCCGAAGUCGCUAGGCUAGCCCUUCGGGGAAGCAGGUGCCGAAGGUAUGGUUGAUGAUUGGGGUGAAGUCGUAACAAGGUAACCUUAAUUAAAA